This 1347-nucleotide long non-coding RNA is filed under the name Oryctolagus cuniculus (rabbit). Its description in RNAcentral is "lncRNA (ENSOCUG00000032501.1)". The record is from RNAcentral. Lineage: Eukaryota; Metazoa; Chordata; Mammalia; Lagomorpha; Leporidae.
GAUGGUUCAGGGGGUUGGGGGCCCUCACUUCCACCCGGCUGGGACACAGGCACCCGAGGACCUGCAGCACAUCCGAGGGGCAAAGCAGACCCAGGGUCCAAGCCUGGGGAGGCUUCUAGAGCAACCGUUCCCGGCCACGGCCACAGGAGGCGCUGAGGGGUGCGGAGGGAGGGUGCACGGGGAGGCGGGUUUGCAGGGAAGGGGGGGGGCUGAGGUGCUGCUGGACACCCCUGAGGAGCCAGAGGACAACACAGGUCACGAUGGUCCAGGCUAGAGGACAGCGCAGGUCACGAUGGUCCAGGCUAGAGGACAGCGCAGGUCGUGAUGGUCCAGGCUAGGGUGCUCGGGGUCGGCUCAGCCGAUGGUGGGGAUCCAAGGUGGAAGAGAGAAGGGGUGUCAUCUGAGGGAGAGGGAAGGAACUCCAGGGCAGGCCUGGGAGACGGAACCCCGAGGGGCACCCCCAGAAGCCCAGGAAAGAGGGCUAGGAGGAGGCGGAGGCCUGGUCAGCCGCAUGUGCCGGGGCUGACAGUGCCGCUGGCCUUUUUCCCCGGGGGGCCCAGACCAGGUUUUUGAGGGGUUGAAGGGUGAUCAGAAGGCGAAGGGGGUGUGGGCUCCUGGAGGGGUGAGCCACGGUCGCCCCGGGAAGCUGAGGGUGGGGCACAGGCUGUGGGUGUGUAGGGGGCGUUCUGAGGCCCCAGGUUAGGGGCAUCACAGAGCAGGGCCGGGUGCCCAGAGCAUGGUCUCCCACUCACUUCCUCCCCUGGUGGGCUUCAAGCCCACCCCCAGCCUCUCCCAGCUUCUCCCGCAGGCCCAGGCCCUGCCUCCCCCACACCCCCAGCCUCUCCCAGCUUCUCCUGUAGCCCAGCUACUCCGCGGUCGUCCCCAGCCCAGACGGCCCCGCCCCCAGGCACUCCCCCACGCCCCCAGCUGGUCCCUUCUGGCAGCUGCCAGGACCCGGCCCCAGCACCUCCUCCCUGCGGGUCCCCAGCUCCGCCCCCUCCUGCCGGGCCCUGCCCACUCUCCGUGAGGGCAUCGCCAUUGGCUGACUUCUCGCUAGGGGCUCCGCCCCAGGGUUCUGCUUCCGCAAUUGGGCCAAGGGACCAUCCGUCAGCGCCGUCGCCUGGGACCUGGACAGAGGCGGCUCCCGGGGGAAAAUCCUUGACGCUGCCGACCGGAAGGCGGCACCGGGUCGGUGCUGGGGCCAGGGCUGCGAGCCACGUCGGGGAAGCGCUGCCCGCAGGAAUGGUGACCAGGCUGUACGAGGCAUGCGCAGGGUUGACCUGGCCGGGAAGGCGCAGGCGCCCGGCCAGCACGUCUCCAGGAGCAGUUCACUGUGUCCCUGUCGCA